RNAcentral lists this non-coding RNA (28 nucleotides) under Rattus norvegicus (Norway rat). Lineage: Eukaryota; Metazoa; Chordata; Mammalia; Rodentia; Muridae. The record is from RNAcentral.
UGACAAUAGGAUGAUGGUCUUAGCCUCA